Non-coding RNA from Lolium perenne, 2125 nucleotides. The record is from RefSeq and is a predicted model, not a curated record. NCBI's taxonomy places the organism in Eukaryota, Viridiplantae, Streptophyta, Magnoliopsida, Poales, Poaceae.
CAAUAUCUCACAAAUAUAACUAUUUUAAAUGUUUUCAAAAUUCAAAUAAUAUUUUGUUGUUCUGGUUGUGAAUUCAAAGUGAUUUUCAAAAAGGUCUCAAACCAGUUUUCAAAUAAAAUAAGCAAAGAUGUUUUUUUUUUAAAGAAAACCCUAGCUAAUCUUCCCUGGAUCUUAUCUACCGGAGCAGCCCAUCUCUUCCUUCCUCCUCCUCCGUUCCAGCCCACCUUGACCGGUCCAUCUCUACAGAUGUAGCCCAGCUUGCCCUCCUUCCUUCUACCUCCUGUACGGCAUGAAUCUGAGCGGAGCCACGUACUCCACCUGAUGAUGGGACGGCUGCCAUGCACCACUCCCCUUGUAUAAAACUCACUGCAGCCUAGACCGAACCCUAGUCCCUCUCCAUCCCAUCCGCGCCGCCACUUUCUCCUCUAGUGGCUUGUUUCCCUGCCUCUGCUUGCUCUCUCCGUGGCUGUGCGUGUGCCGCGGGCGCGCCUCGUUCCUCUCCGGGCCGUGCUCGUCGUCAACCUGCUCGGCUGCGUUCGUCGCCAAGUCCCUGCACCAUGCUCGAUGGCGACACCCCGUCAGCGUCUACGUCGACCUCACCUCCGCGCGUACGUCCUCGAUCGAGCCAUCUCCAACCCAUCUAUUCUGGCUCCUAUCAAGUACGGCGGCCGUCGCCCUCCAGCUCGUCUUCAUCCGCGUCCUUGCCGGACGUCGCCUCGUCGCCCAGCUCCAUGCGAGACGCAUGCUCCAGCCGCUCCGCGCGACUCCGCCUCCGGCCACUUCGUCCCGGCCGCCUGAUCCGCCCAGAUCAUCACCGUCGCCAGAAGCGGCCCCCUGCAGCGACCUCGUCGCACACGUCUUCCUCGCCUCAUGCGCGUGUCCAAGCAGCGCCGCGCCGUGCUCGUCCCGACCUCCAUCGUCCCGGCGUUCGACCGCGCCUCAAGCUCUGUCCGACGUUCAUUGGCCGGCUCCGUCCGUCCCGUCAAGAUCACCGGUCGUUUUCCAUCCUCCAUCUCCCGGACGACGUCGUGGGCAUGCUCCAGUCCUCCUUCGACCAAGUUUCCGCUCCCCCAUCUGGUUCCUCCAGCGAAGGCGCAACCUUCCCAUCUACCCGCGUCUCGCCGUCUCAGACGUCCAGCAUCCAGGAGGCUGCGCGUGAUGCAUCACAUGGUCGGCACCUGCAUGCACGCGUGUGCACAGGCCCACGAAUCUGGCCGCUCGACCCCGUCUCGCUCGCCUCAGCUCCGUCUUCCUCCGCGUCGCCCAGGUCCUAUGCGCGGCCUUUCUGCACCUCAAGUUGGCUGCGCAUUCAUACGCAAUACGAGCACAUCGGCAACGUGUUGCUGGUUCUGCGUCGUCCGAUCGUUCUGGCCGGCCGGCCACCUGAUCCGGGUCUCCAUCUUGGUCCGGUUCAACAGUUGUCGCGGCUGCUCUUGAUCAAAUUCGUGCAGUAGCCCAUCUGCCGGGUCUCGCCGUCAGCCUCUGUCUGCGCCACCUCUGCAUCCUGUUGCUUCGUCAGCGCCUAGUCACCUUCCGGUCCCAGUGGUCAUUGACCUGGGCUGGUUCUUCCUUAGCAUUUGCUUCUUCCCGGAUAGGAUCACGAAAUGGUGUGUUGAGAUACGACGAGCUCUCCGGAUGUUCCUCGGCAAGCUUUAACAGGCAAGCAUUUUCCCCUAUACUUCUGCCCCUGCAGAAGUCGCUCACCUAUUUUAUUUUGCUUUCUCCCUCAUGCUAUCCUUAAGUUGCGUUCUUGUCACGUGACCCUUCCACUUGUUACCUCAAGCAGCCUAUAUUGUCUCCACCAACCACCUACAGCUAUUGUUUGGUUAUCGGGUCUGCCUUGCGUGUCGUAGUGCAUGCUAGUGCUUUUAUAUCGUGUUACCGUUACUGCUAUCUUAUCGGGUUAUCUGUUGGGGAAUCAUGACACAUGGUUUAUGGAUAUAUUUGUUGGAAGUAUCAUGGUUACUUGUUAAUAGUUGUUAGCGGAGACAUCGGUGGGUCAGUUGCUCGUUUUAUGACGGCUCACUUGUGUUUCCAUGAAAUCUAGGACCCCGAGUUCUUGUUAUCUGUUCCGAGACUGAGCGCUCUAACCACACGUGGGUAUGUUUCUGGGUCUCCCCUCGAC